RNAcentral lists this ribosomal RNA (273 nucleotides) under uncultured bacterium. Its description in RNAcentral is "partial 16S ribosomal RNA". It matches the Rfam family "Bacterial small subunit ribosomal RNA", at positions 524 to 794 of the family's 1533-position model. The record is from RNAcentral.
GACGAACCCAAGCGAACGUUAUUCGGAAUUACUGGGCUUAAAGCGCGUGUAGGCGGAUUGCCACGUCGACUGUUGAAAUCCCCCGGCUUAACCGGGGAACAGGCAUCGAUACGAGUAAUCUUGAGGUGGGUAGGGGAGACUGGAACUUCCGGUGGAGCGGUGAAAUGCGUAGAUAUCAGAAGGAACACCGGUGGCGAAAGCGACUCUCUGGUUCACUACUGACGCUGAGGUGCGAAAGCUAGGGGAGCAAACGGGAUUAGAAACCCGUGUAGU